Molecule: unclassified non-coding RNA, 513 nt
Filed under: Hevea brasiliensis (rubber tree)
Lineage: Eukaryota; Viridiplantae; Streptophyta; Magnoliopsida; Malpighiales; Euphorbiaceae
Source: RNAcentral
UGACAGCCUCUUCAUACGGAUCGGCAGGUUUAGUAAUCACAUCUGCAAGUCUAGGAACUUUUGAUUUAUGGUCUGGUAAUUCAUGAGGAUGCCUAUCAUAAGACAAAUCAAGUCUGGCUCCAGGUGUAUUUAGCGGUCUGCUUUUUAUCUCUUCAUUAACUCGCUUCCUAUCCUUUUCCACAGGCUUGGCAACUGAGACCUGGAUCUUGAAAUCCGGACCUCGCUUAGGACCUUGUACCAUUUUCCCAUCCAAUUCCCUGAUUGCUUUAUUUAGGUCCGAGCGGUUAACGAAGUGAACAAAGCCCACAGGAAAACGGCCUUUUCUUGAUAAUGCCACCUUCUCUAUCAUUCCAAUUGGUUCGAAAAGUAUCUUCAGAAAUUCCUCGUCUACAUCUGUUGGAAGGUUCCCAACAAAUGCAGUCUUUACCUUUGCUAGUUCCUCUGGAUCAAUCUCGGUCUCCUUCUCGGCCCAAUCGAUCACAGGAUGCCAAUCACCACUAAGCAGAAAAUCUG